UGUUCUGUGGCUUAGUUGGUUAAAGCGCCGGUCUUACAAAUACAGAGUCGUGGGUUCAAAUCCCACCUGAACGU
Molecule: non-coding RNA, 74 nt
Organism: Aedes albopictus (Asian tiger mosquito)
Lineage: Eukaryota; Metazoa; Arthropoda; Insecta; Diptera; Culicidae
Source: Rfam